This 482-nucleotide ribosomal RNA is filed under the name uncultured bacterium. Its description in RNAcentral is "partial 16S ribosomal RNA". It matches the Rfam family "Bacterial small subunit ribosomal RNA", at positions 30 to 507 of the family's 1533-position model. The record is from RNAcentral.
AUUGAACGCUGGCGGCAUGCUUUACACAUGCAAGUCGAACGGUAACAGGCCGCAAGGUGCUGACGAGUGGCGAACGGGUGAGUAAUGCAUCGGAACGUGCCCAGUCGUGGGGGAUAACUACUCGAAAGAGUAGCUAAUACCGCAUACGAUCUCUGGAUGAAAGCGGGGGACCGUAAGGCCCCGCGCGAUUGGAGCGGCCGAUGUCAGAUUAGGUAGUUGGUGGGGUAAAGGCUCACCAAGCCAACGAUCUGUAGCUGGUCUGAGAGGACGACCAGCCACACCGGGACUGAGACACGGCCCAGACUCCUACGGGAGGCAGCAGUGGGGAAUUUUGGACAAUGGGCGCAAGCCUGAUCCAGCAAUGCCGCGUGCAGGAAGAAGGCCUUCGGGUUGUAAACUGCUUUUGUACGGAACGAAACGGCUCUGGUUAAUACCCGGGGCUAAUGACGGUACCGUAAGAAUAAGCACCGGCUAACUACGUG